UGACUCCAUGGCACUCUAGCCCGGGCAACAGAGUGACACUCUGUCUCAAAAAAAAAAAAAAGAGGUGACUGGUUAGGAAGGACUCUGCCUUCACGAAUGGAUUAAUGCUGUUAGCACAGAGUGGGUUUGUCACAAAAGCGAGCUCAGCCUCUCCUUGCUCUCUCUCAUGCUCUCUUGCUGUGUGAUGCCUCACCAGAUGUGGCUCCUCUGUCUUAGACUUCCCACCCUCCAGAACCGUGAGCCAAAUAAACGUCUAUUGUUUAUAAAUUACCCAGUCUGUGGUAUUCUGUUGUACCAACACAAAAUGAUCUAAGUAUAGUGUUUAAAAUUUGUUUUGAGUUGACUUUAAAAAAAUCAGUAUCGUUCACUGAAAAAAAAAAAAAAUCCAGAUUCCAGUGUCAAUGUCAAAGGCCACCAAGAACAUCCCUAAAAUUGAACAAAGUUGGAUUCAUGGACUCAUUGCAGUGGGGGAGACAACACAAUAUGGGGAACUGUGAGGUGUCCCAGAAAGAGAGUGUGGAAAAUAAUUUAUUGUAGCACAUAUGCUUGUGUUAAGUUUCAGGGGACAAUUCGAAGGAAGGAAUUUUGCUCUGGUUUGGAUGCUGUUUGGGAGGGCAGGUUACACUAUGAUUGGGUAUCUUAGUAAUUUUUAUCUGUAAGGCGGGAGGAAAGCAGCAAGACUAAAUAGUUUGGAUAAUGUGCUUGUUUUUGUCUGUCUUCAGACAGGAGUAAAGAGUGGUCUUGUUUUUGUCUGAGCCAUCACAGUCACAGUGUGGCCUUGUCUCUGCAAUGGUGUUCUAUAAAAUUGUUUGUUCAUUAAGAGAAAAUGACAGCCUACCUGUGAGUGUCAUUCCAGCUCCUGCCAACAUCGAGGCCUGGAGGACAGUGCAGGGCCUGGGCUGGGCCAUGAGGGUCUGCUUUCCCUGUUCUGUCUCCUCUCUUGGCCGAGACAGAUGGAGUUGGGCCUCAGGACUUUAGUCUAUUACCCAGCCCUUCACCACUGCCACGGUUUCGCUCAUCAGGAGAUCAUGGAGAAAACGUCUACAAUUGGAUGAAGCAUGGAGGAGUUGGCUAGGAGUCAGAGAGCCAGGCCUGGGGAUCCCCCACCAGCCAGGACCAGAAGUUCCUCCUCCUGGGACAGGUUCAGAGUCUGCACCUAGAGAAGCCAGACACAGACCCGUCAGGGCAAAUCAGCCAGGGGGGUUAACUUCGUAAGUCCCCCCUCCUCCUGCCUUUUCCCUGUGUGUGUCAGCCCAAAUGCCACAGUGAUGUUGCCCAAGCUGUAGAACUCUGGAAGAGUUUUUGAGAUCAUCUGAGUCGUAACAUAGGUUCCCUGGCUCCCAGGCCAAACCUGUGUACGUGUAAUCCCCAUGGUAACCACAAAUAAAAUAGAUAUUGAAUAUAUACGAAAGGAAUUUAAGCAUUUCACUACAAAAAAGAAAUGAAACAUAAAAGGCAGUAAUGCAAGAAAUGAGGGAUAGUAAAACCUAUAAGGCAUAUAGAAAACAAAUACCAAAAUGACAAAAGUCCUUCCUUACCAAUAAUUAAAUAUAAAUGUGUUUAACUUUUCAAUUAAAAGACAGAUAUUAGCAGAAUUGAUAAAAAAA
Long non-coding RNA from Lemur catta (Ring-tailed lemur), 1607 nucleotides. RefSeq lists it as uncharacterized. The record is from RefSeq and is a predicted model, not a curated record. Lineage: Eukaryota; Metazoa; Chordata; Mammalia; Primates; Lemuridae. The transcript is spliced from 2 exons.